AGGACUCACCUAAUUGGCUCCGGCCCAUGUAGGUAGCCUUCCUUUUGAUUUGCUCAAAGGCAACUAAUUGAGAAGUGAACCAUGGGAGUUCUCUCCCUCUGCAUUCUAGGUCCUGCCCACACUCGCAGGAGGGCGUGAGAAUCUUGGAGGCCAGCUUAGCAUUCUGCCUACCAUGGCCAUAUUCUAUUCGUGAGAAGAAAAUUACUAGGUCCAUCCCACCACCAAGAUGACACAAAGGUGUGAAAGGUCAGGGGUCAGAGGCCGCUGGGAGCCAUUUCAGAAGCUGUACGUUCCUAUUUUACAGGCCCUUUCUCAUAGUUGGGAGAGGUAACAGAAGGGUGUCUAAUUCUGCCCUUUUGGAGGCUGUAGUCUUUCAACCAUUUCCUUGUGCAUUCUGUAAUUUUGGGUUUCGAGCUCAGCUUCCGAGGGACCGUGGAAUGGGAGCGCACAGAACUUUAACCAGGGACUGGAUCCCAGGUGGACAAAAUCACAGAGCUGCUUUUGGAGCAAUGACGGCCAUGACUGGGAGUCUGAUCUUCUACUCAUGGGUCCAGAGCCUCCAGCUGGUCACCUUAUCCGGAGGCGACAGAGACAAGGGGCGAUGACACCAACGUCAAUGUCAUACCUUAUGACCAGACCUGGAGAUUCCAAGGGACCAGGCAUUCACAUCUGAUGGCUCAGUUAGCCUGCCCUCAGAGAGCCAGCCUGCCGGGGCUUGUUGCCAUGACCUGUUACACUGCUCGGCCAGGAGGGUGUGUGUGGCCUGUCAUAUGUGAGUGUGUGGGUCUCGUCCGUGUCCCAGGAGCAGUAGGGGGGCUUGUCAAGUCUUCUGAUGGAGAAAUCACUCUGGCAGAACAUGAUCUGAAACCACACCCUCUCCCGAGUGGCCGCUCCAAGGGCCUGGGGAGCCUUGGCAUCUGUCCAACAUCAGAGUCUUUGUCCAGUAUCGAGAUGGAAGUUAGAAAGACUUUGAAAUGUGACGAAUUGCAGCCCCUUUCCCACGUCACCCCGCUUGCCUGGCACGCCCAUGGCCCACCCUCUUCCAGGUGGCACCCUGCCCGGCCUUCAGGGGCUGAGUGUCUGCGUGUCUGGUUGCCCCACUGUGACUGGAGCUUAGCUGAGAUUCUGCCACGAGGAUGUCACCACAUCUGCCGCCAGAGAACUUUCCCCUCCACGCCAGAUGCUGCUGGGGAACUGGAAGGACAGAGCGCUGGCGCUUCACCCAGCCCACGGGCCCCACCACUUGAUCUGUUCUGGGUCGGCUUGCUGUUGACAGUCUGCACGACGUAGGCAGCGUGGGACCGUCACCUGCCCGAGAGUACAGGCCGCCUGGGGGAGGCGAGCUGUGGCCCUCAUUACAGCUGUAGCCCUCACUGCCCUGCAUGACUGCUGGACCCCCAAAGCUGCCAAAGACAACUUGGUAACCAGCUUGUGUUGGUUGCAGCAGACCCGGGGUGGGGUGGGGGGGCUCCCCUCUCAGGCAUCACAGACCAUGCAUUUAAUCACCUUCUCUAGAACUGGGUCCAGAAAGGCCACAGUUGGUUUUCUGGGCAAGAGGGGGCCACGGGAUCCAGUAAGGGGCUCCCAGUAGGUACAUGACGUUAAUAGCUGACGUUCACAGACAGCUUUCUCUGUGCCAGCCCUGUGCUAACACAGAGGUGCCCGAACUUUCUCGCUUCCUGGCACCCUCAGUGUCUUGGUAAUUCAUGGCACUCCUAGGCUGAAAGAAAUAUCCAACAGUUCUAUUUAUGAAUUGUUUUAGGUCCCAAUAACUUCAUAAGUAUUUAGGUUCUAAUAACUUAGUGGUCAUUUAGAAAAUAGAAUACAAGUCAAGAGAAAGAAAAAACAGUACUUUUAUUUCAUUCUUUCAUAACCACCACUACUUACUAAUCGGCUGUGAGUACUGGCCAGCUUCUCUAACCUUGGACUCAGACUGGACACCUCCAGCCUUGUUUCCUGGUCCAUGGUGGUUUUCAUUCUUUAUCCCCCAAAUCAAAGAAAACCCAGCUUCUCAAAGAUACAUGUGAAAGGAAUGUAGUGUGAUCAACCGUUGAAAGUGUGAACCACCGGGACCUGUUAGUCUGCUCAGGUGGACAGUUGUACAGCGUCGCUGUUUCCCUCCAAAGUUUAGAAAAUUUAAGCUACCCUCUGUACCCUUGUGCGUUUCCUACAGAGCUUGGGGACCUCGGAGGCGCCCUGCUAAGGAGUUUCAUACAUGCUUCCUCUUGUACAGAAAGACACCUUAUGGAGAAGGAGCCUGUGGCUCAGAUGGGUGGAGCCCUUGCCUGAGGUCACAGAGCCAGGCUCCAGGGCCCCCU
This 2318-nucleotide long non-coding RNA is filed under the name Equus caballus (horse). RNAcentral's name for it is "lncRNA (ENSECAG00000046081.1)". Lineage: Eukaryota; Metazoa; Chordata; Mammalia; Perissodactyla; Equidae. The record is from RNAcentral.